CACGUAGUUAGCCGGGGCUUCUUCUGGAGGUACCGUCAAUACGGACGGCUAUUCGCCGCCGCACCUUCGUCCCUCCUGAAAGGGGUUUACAACCCGAAGGCCUUCUUCCCCCACGCGGCGUUGCUGCGUCACGCUUUCGCGCAUUGCGCAAGAUUCCCCACUGCUGCCUCCCGUAGGAGUCUGGGCCGUGUCUCAGUCCCAGUGUGGCUGAUCGUCCUCUCAGACCAGCUACCCAUCGUUGCCUUGGUGAGCCGUUACCUCACCAACUAGCUAAUGGGCCGCGGGCCCCUCCCGAAGCGGAGGCCGAAGCUUCCUUUACUCCACACACUGAUGUGUGUGGAGCACAUCCGGUAUUAGCCCGAGUUUCCUCGGGUUGUCCCGGUCAUCGGGGCAGGUUACCCACGUGUUACUCACCCGUUCGCUGCUUUGCCCCAGGGCAAGCCCUGGUUCGUCGCUCAACUUGCAUGUGUUAGGCACGCCGCCAGCGUUCGUCCUGAGCCAGGAUCAAACUCU
Molecule: ribosomal RNA, 513 nt
Filed under: uncultured Actinomycetes bacterium
Lineage: Bacteria; Bacillati; Actinomycetota; Actinomycetes
Description: uncultured actinobacterium partial 16S ribosomal RNA
Source: RNAcentral